GGGUUUGAUCCUGGCUCAGGACGAACGCUGGCGGCGUGCUUAACACAUGCAAGUCGAACGGAAAGGCCCUGCUUUUGUGGGGUGCUCGAGUGGCGAACGGGUGAGUAACACGUGAGUAACCUGCCCUUGACUUUGGGAUAACUUCAGGAAACUGGGGCUAAUACCGGAUAGGAGCUCCUGCUGCAUGGUGGGGGUUGGAAAGUUUCGGCGGUUGGGGAUGGACUCGCGGCUUAUCAGCUUGUUGGUGGGGUAGUGGCUUACCAAGGCUUUGACGGGUAGCCGGCCUGAGAGGGUGACCGGCCACAUUGGGACUGAGAUACGGCCCAGACUCCUACGGGAGGCAGCAGUGGGGAAUAUUGCACAAUGGGCGGAAGCCUGAUGCAGCAACGCCGCGUGCGGGAUGACGGCCUUCGGGUUGUAAACCGCUUUCGCCUGUGACGAAGCGUGAGUGACGGUAAUGGGUAAAGAAGCACCGGCUAACUACGUGCCAGCAGCCGCGGUGAUACGUANGGUGCGAGCGUUGUCCGGAUUUAUUGGNCGUAAAGGGCUCGUANGUGGUUGAUCGC
This 566-nucleotide ribosomal RNA is filed under the name uncultured bacterium. RNAcentral describes it as "bacterial SSU rRNA". It matches the Rfam family "Bacterial small subunit ribosomal RNA", at positions 9 to 586 of the family's 1533-position model. The record is from RNAcentral.